This 21-nucleotide non-coding RNA is filed under the name Caenorhabditis elegans. Lineage: Eukaryota; Metazoa; Nematoda; Chromadorea; Rhabditida; Rhabditidae. The record is from RNAcentral.
UAACUAAAGAAACUCAUUUCU